AGUGAACGCUGGCGGUAGGCCUAACACAUGCAAGUCGAACGGCAGCACAGAGGAGCUUGCUCCUUGGGUGGCGAGUGGCGGACGGGUGAGGAAUACAUCGGAAUCUACUCUGUCGUGGGGGAUAACGUAGGGAAACUUACGCUAAUACCGCAUACGACCUACGGGUGCAAGCAGGGGACCUUCAGGCCUUUCGCGAUUGAAUGAGCCGAUGUCGGAUUAGCUAGUUGGCGGGGUAAAGGCCCACCAAGGCGACGAUCCGUAGCUGGUCUGAGAGGAUGAUCAGCCACACUGGAACUGAGACACGGUCCAGACUCCUACGGGAGGCAGCAGUGGGGAAUAUUGGACAAUGGGCGCAAGCCUGAUCCAGCCAUACCGCGUGGGUGAAGAAGGCCUUCGGGUUGUAAAGCCCUUUUGUUGGGAAAGAAAUCCAGCUGGCUAAUACCCGGUUGGGAUGACGGUACCCAAAGAAUAAGCACCGGCUAACUUCGUGCCAGCCGCCGCCGUAA
This 506-nucleotide ribosomal RNA is filed under the name uncultured bacterium. RNAcentral describes it as "partial 16S ribosomal RNA". It matches the Rfam family "Bacterial small subunit ribosomal RNA", at positions 29 to 523 of the family's 1533-position model. The record is from RNAcentral.